UCGAUCCUCUCUUCUCUCUCUUUCUUUACUCUCUCUCUCUCUGAUCUCCGAACCGUCCACCCCCUUCCCGGCCCCUGCUUCCCGUCGCACCAGAGAGAGAGGGAGAGAGCCAAGAGUCUGAGAAGAAGAAGAAGAAGAUGAAAGGAGUGGGUGUCUUCAAAAAGGCACAUGGCCUAGAGAAACGAUAAAGCUAGGAAUUGUUGCAAACCAGAAUUUAAGAUUGCAUGUCAGACACCAGAGAAGACCAAUCAGCCUUUACACACCAAAUUCAAGGAUGGAGAUGUAAAUCUUCCAGACAAGUGGGUUGCUCAAUGGAUGCAUCUGUUUAUUUAUUUACUUUUUUUUUUUUUUUUUUAUUCUAAGAUUGGGCAUCUUUCUUCGACUUUCAGAUUUAGGAUUAUAUCAGAGUUCUUUGAUGGUAUGAACUGUUCAUUUAGGUUGCUUAGUCUAUGUAAAAGGUUUGCAUGCUUUAAUUUUAUGUUUUGUUUUGGUUAUGGACGCUAUCACUUCUUUUUGGUU
This is a long non-coding RNA of Alnus glutinosa, 519 nucleotides long. RefSeq lists it as uncharacterized. The transcript is spliced from 2 exons. The record is from RefSeq and is a predicted model, not a curated record. Lineage: Eukaryota; Viridiplantae; Streptophyta; Magnoliopsida; Fagales; Betulaceae.